Pristis pectinata (smalltooth sawfish) is the source of this 371-nucleotide long non-coding RNA. RefSeq lists it as uncharacterized. The record is from RefSeq and is a predicted model, not a curated record. Lineage: Eukaryota; Metazoa; Chordata; Chondrichthyes; Rhinopristiformes; Pristidae. The transcript has 3 exons.
GUGAUGUUGAGACACAAGCUGAGUUCAUGCUGCAGGAAGUUCUGCUGGAUUUCCAGCUGGGAUAUGUUAAUGAUCACAUUAGGACAGUUUUGCAGAAUAUAGUGGACUUACUGAAUCCAAGACAAUUCAAUUCACCCAGUGCUGUCCUGAUUCUUAUUAAAGCUAUGCUUCAGUUGACUGACUUAAGUACAGUGGAAUGGAUAUGCACUGUAGAAAGUGCUGUCAGGCAGGAGAAGAUGAAUGUUUGUCUCUCAGCCCAGAAAUUAAUUCUUGACCAGCUUGUUUUACUGGGGGAAACUGCAAGGCAUCAGUCUUAUGGGGAUGUUUAUUCCUGUCUGGCAGUCCCGUUGAAAAAUGUUUAUCUUCCACAU